AGUGAACGCUGGCGGUAGGCCUAACACAUGCAAGUCGAACGGCAGCACAGUAAGAGCUUGCUCUUACGGGUGGCGAGUGGCGGACGAGUGAGGAAUACAUCGGAAUCUACUUUUUCGUGGGGGAUAACGUAGGGAAACUUACGCUAAUACCGCAUACGACCUACGGGUGAAAGCAGGGGAUCUUCGGACCUUGCGCGAUUGAAUGAGCCGAUGUCGGAUUAGCUAGUUGGCGGGGUAAAGGCCCACCAAGGCGACGAUCCGUAGCUGGUCUGAGAGGAUGAUCAGCCACACUGGAACUGAGACACGGUCCAGACUCCUACGGGAGGCAGCAGUGGGGAAUAUUGGACAAUGGGCGCAAGCCUGAUCCAGCCAUACCGCGUGGGUGAAGAAGGCCUUCGGGUUGUAAAGCCCUUUUGUUGGGAAAGAAAAGCAGCAGGUUAACACCCCGCUGUUCUGACGGUACCCAAAGAAUAAGCACCGGCUAACUUCGUG
RNAcentral lists this ribosomal RNA (492 nucleotides) under uncultured bacterium. RNAcentral's name for it is "partial 16S ribosomal RNA". It matches the Rfam family "Bacterial small subunit ribosomal RNA", at positions 29 to 507 of the family's 1533-position model. The record is from RNAcentral.